RNAcentral lists this ribosomal RNA (253 nucleotides) under uncultured bacterium. RNAcentral describes it as "partial 16S ribosomal RNA". It matches the Rfam family "Bacterial small subunit ribosomal RNA", at positions 524 to 776 of the family's 1533-position model. The record is from RNAcentral.
UACGGAGGGGGGCUAGCGUUGUUCGGAAUUACUGGGCGUAAAGCGCACGUAGGCGGCUUUGCAAGUGGCGGGUGAAAUCCCUCGGCUUAACCGAGGAACUGCCUGCCAGACUGUGAGGCUUGAGACCGGGAGAGGUGAGUGGAAUUCCCAGUGUAGCGGUGAAAUGCGUAGAUAUUGGGAGAACACCAGUGGCGAAGGCGGCUCACUGGACCGGAACUGACGCUGAGGCGCGAAAGCGUGGGGAGCGAACAGG